AAUCCGCCGGAAGGAGGGCGCAGCAUUGCCGGUCUUCUCAUUGCCUGGCUGCUAGAGGAAACCCGAAGUCGGGAUUCUUUCUUUCCUGCUCUGAGAGGGACCAGGUCCCUCCUCCGUAGCUUUUGUCUCUCUAUUGCCUGCGCCGUGUCCUGGACUGCUCACGGGAGUUCUGCAGGAGACGCCGGAAUAUCUGGAAGCUGAAAAAUGGAAAUAAAUGGAAAGACCAGAAUAUUGAAGAUCACUACAGAAAUCUAAGGAUGAAAUCAACAGCCAAUCUGGGUGCCAUUGAGACAUCUAAAGCCUUACUAUGAGCCAGAUACCCAGGAAGAGGUUUUGGGAGGAUCCCAAAGACUCCCUGGUUGCAGCCAUGUCAAGACUGAUGCUGAGGAGGACCCCAACUGUCACGAGCAACAACUGCCUGGGGACAGAUCAAGAAGCUGUCACAGAUGGCAGAGAAAAACCUGAGAAAAGCGGGACAACCAGUCACAAUGAGUAAUUUAAUGAUAGCUAUGACAGUGGUGAUCACCAUUGCCAUGAGUAUUCCUUCAACAAGGGCUGACACAGAGAACAAUUACACUUAUUGGGCAUAUUUAUCAAUCUUGGCUGGCAAUAAUGCCUGGAUGUGAUCACUCUAUGACACAGUUACACAUGCUUUCUGGUCUCAGUAUUUACCAUAAUAAUCUGCUCCUAUAAUUGAGGCAUACUGCCCUCAAAAAACUAUUUGUAAACAGGAUUGGACCUGGUCAGAAAAAAUGAACGUACUUGUUUGGGAAGAUUGCAUUGCAGAACAGGCAGAGGUGCUGCACAACGAUUCCUAUGGAGUCAUUAUUGAUUGUUCCCCUAAGGGGAUGUUUAGCUUGAAUUGCACCUCUCAGUCUGCCUGCCAUGGCCACACUAUGUUCAGCUGGUCUGAACAAAAUGGUCAGAUGGUAGAAAUGAUAAGAAGUAUGGCAAGAGUUCCUAUUAUCUGGAAACAUGGUGGUAUAGUGGCACCUCAACCUCAAAUGAUAUGGCCUGCUGUAGGAGCUAAACAUAAGGAUUUGUGGAAACUAUUAAUGGCUCUUAAUAAGAUCAAAAUUUGGGAAAGGAUAAAAAAGCAUCUAGAAGGACACUCUAGAAACUUGGAUAUUGCAAAAUUAAAAGAACAAAUAUUUAAAGCAUCCCAGGCACACCUGACCUUAAUGCCAGGAACUGGAGUGCUUGAAGGAGCUGCAGAUGGAUUAGCAGCUAUUAACCCAUUAAAAUAGAUAAAAACACUUGGAGGCUCUGUGAUUUCAAUGAUGAUUGUGCUUUUAAUCUGUGUUGUCUUUGUAUAGUCUGCAGAUGUGGAUCCCAACUCCUGCGAGAUGUAGCUCACCAUGAUAAAGCCACCUUUGCUUUUAUUGUCUUGCAAAAACAAAAAGGGGGAACAUGUUGGGGACAGGCUCCCAAAUCUGGCCAUAAACAAAAUCUCUGCAGCACUGUGACAUGUUCAUGAUGGCUAUGAUGCCCACACUGAAGGUUGUUCAUUUACUGGAAUGAGGGCAAGGAACACCUGGCCCACCCAGGGCGGAAAACUGCUUAAAGGUGUUCCUAACCCACAAACAAUAGUAUGAGCAAUCUGGGCCUUAAGGACAUGUUCCUGCUGCAGAUAACUAGCCAGAGCCCAUCCCUUUGUUUCACAUAAGGAAUAUUUUUAGUUAAUCUAUAAUCUACAGAAACAAUGCAUAUCACUGGCUUGCUGUCAAUAAAUGUGGGUAAAUCUCUUUUCAUGGCUUUCAGCUCUGAAGGCCGUCAGCCCCGAUUUGCCACUCCACAUUCU
This 1801-nucleotide long non-coding RNA is filed under the name Homo sapiens (human). Its description in RNAcentral is "non-protein coding ZNF433-AS1:24". The record is from RNAcentral. Lineage: Eukaryota; Metazoa; Chordata; Mammalia; Primates; Hominidae.